Equus caballus (horse) is the source of this 10723-nucleotide non-coding RNA. The record is from RefSeq and is a predicted model, not a curated record. Lineage: Eukaryota; Metazoa; Chordata; Mammalia; Perissodactyla; Equidae.
AAAAUCAGUUAUAAAAAGUAUCGGUGUUUGGGCCCCAUCUCCGACCAAUUAAGUCGGGACCUACCCUCUCUGAAGGGGCCCCCAGGUGGUGGGGAGCCACCACUUUAGAGAAUGACCAGUCAUAAAUUGCAAGUAGAGGUGGGACAGCCGUGGGGGGGAGGGGACAAGGGGUGGCACCAGACACAGCCAUUGAUAGAUAUUCCUUUGUCCAAUUCCUGUUUCAGUCCUGAGAGUAACAACUAUUGCCCUAUAAAGCUCUAGCAAACGAGAGUUGUUAUUAUUAAACAAAUCUGGGCUCUUCCAAACCUGAGAGGAGGCUGCAGACCCUGAAGACGGCAGAUGGGCUGUGCGAGGGCAUUUGGGGACCAUGACGGUUCUUUGCUCUGCCAGUCCUUCCUGAUGCUCUCCCUCCACUGGCUCCUCUCCACCGAUUCUGCCUGACUCAGGCCUUGAUUUUUCCUGCCUGGCCUCAGCCCACCCACCCACUGUCAGCUCUGGUGCCCCGCACCCCAGACCUCACCAAGUCCCUUCUCUGCCUAAGAGAACAAAGCCUGCGCCCCUUGCCCUGGCCUUUGAGUCCUUCGAAAUCUAGUCCUCACCCUCUGGUCACCCUCUUCCUUCGCACACCAGACCUGACCUUCCAGGUAAGGCAAGGACACCCCCAAGCCACCUGUGGUUCCCACUCCAUUGCCCUUGCUUGGGCUGUGCCUAACACAUCCCCCUCUGUUCUACACUCUUAGAACUCCUUCUCAUCCCUCAAGGCCCAGAGCGAGUGCUUCCUCUUCCAGGAAGCUUGCCCAGAUUCUUCUGAGAAGUGUUCCGACACUAGAACUUCUCCCUCUGGGCUGUGGUCAGUAGUUCAUGUGUGGACAUGACCCCAGAUCCUCUUCCCCAAGGCUAGUGCCUUAUGCAAAGAGAAGGCCCAGUGAAAGUUAACCGCGCUGGUGCCCAAUGUCUCCAGAAUGGUAGGGUGUGGCAAACCCUCUUGACGGCCCGCCCAACAGCCAUUUCUCCCAUCUUCUCUGCCAGCAGACCCUGGCUUUGCUCAGCAACAGCGUGCCCUCUCCCAUGGAUGAAGCAUGAUUGUUCCAAGCCAAGUGGGACAAUCUUGCUGUCCCCUUGGCCAGUGACCAGUUUAAGAGUGGACAUGUAGCUCAGUUUUGUCCAAAGAGACAUAAAGGAAAUUCUGCUGGGGUCUCCUAGGAAGGACUCUCCUUUUCCUAAUACAAGGGAAAGCUGUGAAGGAAAUGACUCCUCACCCAACUCCUGCUUUGUACUUAGAGGACUUGAUGCUUGGAGCAGUGGCAGCCAUCUUGUAACCAUGAGGGGGACAGUGUUGAUACAAUGAGUUUGACAGAGUUAAUGAUAGGUCUUCUGGGUCCUUCGUUAUAUUCUAGAGCUGCUAAACCCAUGCUGAGUCUGCCCACCCGGGCCUGCUUGUUAGGUAAAGACAGAAGAUCCUUAUGGUUUAAGCCAGUGUUAGUUAACACAUAACGUAUAUAACAGUGACUAUUACAUGCAGUCAAAACUGUCAUAACGCAUGGUUCUCAGGCCUGGCUGAGAGUCCCGAAAACAGACCAAGGCCCUGGUCCCACCCAGACCACGAACUUGAAGCCACCAGGGCUGAGGCCCAGGCACGGCCGUGUCCAGGGCUUCCCUGACAAUAUGAGCAUGCAGCCAGGGCUGAGAGCCACUGCUCCAGAUCCGUAUUCGGGCGGCUGCCCUGUGUUCCACACCAAAAUCAUUUGUGCCUGAUGUUUGGGGUGUUGUUAUUAUUAUUAUUUUGCAGCAGUAGCAUCACCAACGUCACUUUGGUUUAUUAUGAACAGAGCCCAAGACUGGGGAUCAAGAGAUGAGUUCACGUCCCAGCUCAGCCUCAGGCACCUCUCUUCCUUCUUGGGCCCUGGGUUUUUCCAUCCAUUAAAUGGGAGGAUGGACAAGGGCCCUGCCAUCCUGACAGGGGGCACCAUGAAGCUGGGUGGUCCCACCCCAGCUGUUCAGGUCUGGCUUCCUGCCCCGUCCCUGCUUCCCUGUGGCUGAGGUCCCUGCAGGUCUGGUGGGCCCAGGUCGGCCUUCAGGGGGGUGGGGAGGGGGCUCUGCCCAGUGAGGAAGGACACCCUCAGCUUCUCCAGGGCCAGGGUCUGGCUCUAUCCCCCAGCUGGCAUAAGGCAGGGCUCAGUGCAUAGGGUGCUACACUGACCGGAAGGGUGGAUGCCCAGUGCCUGGCCCAGCAUCAAGGUGCCCCCAUCUGAGGGCAUCUGCUCCAGGACAGGGGAGAAGGGGGACGAACACUGGACUCAGAGUCAGAGGCCUGGCUUAGAGUCUCCAUGCUGAUGCUGGAGUGCUUUGUGACCUCAGCCAAGUCCCUGUCCCUCUCUGGGCUUAGUUUUCCCAUUGCAAAAGGUGGGUUUUGGCCACAAGUUUUCCAAGGGCUCUUCUAGUUCUAAAGCUCUACAACUCAGUGAGAUGUUUGGUUUAGCCCUGUGCUAUUGAACUUCAAACUGUCUGUCCUGGGGGUCCCCUAUGCCCACCUUAACAGGUCCACCAUAUGUAAAGAGCUUAGUGUUGGUCAUGGGGGAAUAGGGACCUGGACGGGAGUGGAAGGAUCUCAGAUCUGGAUGUCAGGAAUCCUAGGAUCUAGUUUCACUUCUGAAACUUACUAGCUGUGUGACCUUGGUCAAGCCACUUCCCCUUCCUGGGCCUUGGUUCCUUUAUCAGUGAAAAUGGGAGCUUGACAACCCUCCUCGCCAUGUUGUAGGAGCAACACAUGGGCUGGGGCAUGCACGGGCAGCUUGUGAGGGGUAGAGCAAGCAUUGACCGGGAUCCUUCCAGCCCCUCACCCAAGGUGGCUGUCGGCCCUGCGGCCUGGCGUGGGCUGAUCGGAGGCGUGUGGACAGCUCCCGGCUACCGUGCCUCUUCCCAGCCCAGGCACCUAUGGGACGCGAGGGCAGCCAGGUGACGUCCCCUGGAACCGCCAACCUCCUGCAGCUAACUCAGACUCACCAGCCCUCCCCCUUGGGUAGACCACGUCCGCAGACUUUUCCAUUUGUCGCUUAUUUCAUGGCGUUGCCGUGACAACAGCCCCCAGAAGGCAAGAACAUUUUUUGUUGAAUUAACUUAUUAAUUCUUCAGCACUCCUGCUCCUUCCAAAAGGACUUGAUGCCACCACGUGAUUGCUCCCAUUUCACAGAUGAGACAGUCAGGGCAAGAGGAGGGUUCGCUCCACACACAUGGGUUCUGAGCAGACAGGGGCGACCUUGCCGUCCUGGUCCAGCCUGUGCAGCGAGCACCACACCAGGCCCUCGGCCCACGCAGACGAAGGCACACACGGAUGAGUGAGGUGAGGGCUGACUUUGAAGGGACCGUGAGGGAGAGGGUCUCUGCCUCUGAGACGGCGAACUCCCGCCCUCCACUGUGGGCAGUGAUGUCUCUUGCUUUUCCCGCUGAGAUCCACAACCUCUGAGGGUCCCCGGGUGAGUCACCCGUCUUUAGAACCUUCACGUGCAAAAUGGAGAUGCUAGUGAAUACCAUUCUUAAGGGCUUGGUGGUAGAACCCAGAGGGCUCCGUGCUGGGCCUGGCCAUUAGCAAGUGCGUGGUCCAGGCUGCUUCAGGAGGGGAGCCCUCCAUUCCCAGACCUGUGCAAUUACAGGUUGGGACGCCUCCCAGGGACACUGGGGGCACAUCCCUGGGGGCUGGUGGGGCGGCUCAGCCUUAGCAUGAGGGGGCAGUUAUGAAGCAGCCGGGGGGGUCAGCUUGACCAGGUUCAACUCACAGCUUUGCCAGUUAUUAGCUAGGAAAACUCCUAGAAUCUCUAUUUCUCUACCUAAAAUUGACCUAAUAAAAGUUCCUGUUUCAUGGUGGGGGCGUGGGGGGGCUGGGGGGAGAGAUCCAGGCUGAUGCCCUGCCCCUCUUUCACGUCAGUUUCCCCUCACGGUGCUGCUGCCCAGCUUGAUUUCUGAGGCCUUUGGCUGGGGGCUGGGCCAGCUUCUAGGCCUGAGUCCUGGAGACAGGCCAGCUGUCUCCAGGGAGCCUCUGGGAGGCUGAUUGGGAUAAAAAAUAGCCCUUUCCCAGGGCAGGCGGGAGUGCGUGGGCCUUCUCGGUCAAGCCAGGGGCCUGCAGAGGGAGCAGUGUGCGAGGGUGACCAAGCCAAGGCCAGCUUGGAACUGGGGAGACCGGACCCCCUGGGGCCUCCAGGGCUCUUUUUUGCCUCCUUUGCAGCGCCCCAAAUAUUGGCCCCAGGGCAGCGGCCUCCUCUUCCAGGUGGCGUCAGUAAAGCGGGGCUAGCUGCUGUGGCAGGGUUCCUUGAGCUAACACAUGCAAAGCACUCAGCACGGUGCCUGCUCCAUCCACAGCCAGUGUUCUUCUAACUUGGGCCUCAGUUUCUACAUCUGUGAAGUGGGCGCAGAAACCCGGGUCCUCGCAGGGCUGUGGCGAGGAUUGAACAACAGCAUUUGGAAAGUGGUCCUUCCCGCCCCCUCCCCCCACUUCUUUCCCCUCCCCACAAUCCAGGCUCACCAACAUCCAGGGGCUGCCUAGGAGCUGGGGGGGCGUCUCUGUGGCUGUCUGGGGGCUGCAGUGGGAGGAGUGGCUCCCUGACUGUCUUAUCAGGAAAUCUGGGGGUGGGGGCAGGGCUGGGAAGGUGGAGGGCAAGAGGAAGGGCUGGCGGCCGUCCUCUAGCACCCCAAGCUCCCUUCAGCCAGAGGCUCAGUCGGGAGUGGGGAGUGCGACCCUGGACAAGCCACCUCCUGUCCUCAGGCUGUUGUAGAUGGAGCCCACAUUGCCACUGAUCUGCCUUCCCUUCCCUGUGCCAUCACCUGGCUAGUCCUCCAUCCAGACACAGUUCCUAGAUCUCCUCCACCAGGAAGCCUUCUGGAUCUGACGGCCACGGCAUUUGAGCUGCCUCCAAGUGCACCCCUCACCGUUCUGUUGCUCUGACUGCCUGCUAUGGGCCUGUGUCCCUGGAGAAUCCGGAAACUUCUGAAGAGCAGGACUGUGUCAUUCGUGUCGCAACCCCAGGACACAACCCAAGGCCAGGUACACAGUAGGUGUUUAAUAAGUGCUGCCUGGACAGGCGAAUGAAUGAUAGGGUCAAACCUUGGAAGCAUAGCUCUUACUGAGAAGAUAAUUGCGUGGUAGAUGGUGGAGCUGCUGGUCUCCGACUGCCUGAGUUCAACCCUGGCUCUGCCACCUACAGGCCAUGUGAUGGGGAGCAGGUCACUGCCACCCUCGGUGCCUCACUUUACCCAUCUGUAAAAUGGAGAUAAUAAUAGUAUCGAGCCUGUGGAGGUGUUAGAUUAAAUGUGGUAAUGUAUAUAAAUGGGGAGCAGGGCGCCCGGCACACAGCCAGUGACCCACGAAAGCCUGCUCACAUUAUUCUACGGCUCCCAAAAUGCCGCUGUUCUCUGCUCUGACCCACCCUGCUGGGACACUGUGCACCUGGAACUCGUCCCCAGUUGGCGGUUUCCAGGGAGCCCAGUCUGAGGGAUGUGGCUCCUCCCACACUCUCCUCCAUUUAAAAAGAGCAAGCGUGAGAAUGACAGUGAGCUGGCCUUCUCUGGACAGCUGUGGUCAAGAGGUGUGACCAUGGAGUGUGGACCAUUCAAUUCAGCCCUUAGGUGGAGCACCACAGGUCAGGCCCAUCUGUCACCUCAGGUCACUACGGCAGGUUCUCGGAGAACCGCCACCACCACGCCCCCCUUGCAGCUGAGGAAACUGAGGCACAUGGGGAAGAACCCAACAUGGAAGAGACUGGAGGCUGCAUCUUCUGACUUCACGCCUAGUCCUCAUCUCAUGUAACCAACAGCGGUCUCCACCUGUUUUGUAAGCUUUGAGUAAAAGCCCAAGUUAAACUCAGGGCGAUAUAUGUAUAUUCAAAAAAACUAUAUAUAUGUCUAUGUGUGUCUCUAUUACAUGUGUGUAUAUGUAUGUAGAUAAUAUGCUCUCUACUUGUUUAUUUCAAAAGUUUCAGGUUCUCCCAAACGUCACAUGCCCCUUGGCCUGAGGUCAUGGCUACUUGGGCUAGCCUGGGGUCAUGUGAGGAAGUAGGGAAUUGACCCGGGCGGUUCCUUGGCCUCCACCGUCCUCAACCCAAUUCCUUGCAAUGCCCCAUAAGUUGAUAUUGAAGCUUAUCUUUCUGAUCAGCCAUUCCCCUGGGAUCCAGACAGGUCCUAGGAAAUUUGAGGACACAAUUCCAGCUGGAGGGCUCGUGGCUGAGAACCAUUGAAACGUUCUCCCCGCUUCUUGGGUCCUAUGGCUUUAAAACCUGAGCCAUAAAAAUACCUGGAGCUUGUGGGUCCCUGUCCUGCUUCCUGGCUGCUUUCAGGUGCCGUGCCUUUUGACCCUCUCAACACUGGUGGGAGAGGCAGUAGGAUUCUCCCCAUCGUGCAGAUGGAGAGACUGAGGCCCACAUUGUAAGUGGCAGAGGGGGCUGGGAACAGGCCUGCCUGUUCCUCUUCUCAUCAGACCCUCUGAUGCUGAAUAUUUAGGGUGGCGGCCAGGGGUUAGUUACUCUGGAAGUUUCUGCUCGGGCUAAGGGGUGAGCUGGCCUUGGGGAGCAGGGGGCGUGGGAUCUAGACCCCCUUGCUUGGUGCCCCAGGAGGGGCCCAGGUCAGAGCCCUGGGGGGCCCUUGAAAGAGGCAGUGCUGACAGGCUUCUGGCUGCUGGUGUCCAGGGCCUCGCAGCUGCUGGGGGUUGAGCCUUUUGUUCGGACUCUAAAGAUCCCGAAAAGCUGCUCCCAGCUCUGCUAAUCCCGGAUCCUUUGAUGCUGGUGACAAGCUCCUGGCUUCCCUCAGGCGCCAGGACCUUAGGCUUCUGAGGUUGGACAGGGUUGCUGGGCGUUCCCCAGGGGAUCUGCUCGGGGCUGCAGUCCUCCGUCAACCCCACAACAUGGGCUCGUCUCCCUGUUGUAUGGAGGGGAAGUUGAGGUCCUGAGAAAGGGUGACUGGCCCAAGGUCAUCCAGGUAGGAGGUGAUGACCGGGGAUUUGAACCUGUCUAGAGCUGGCCCCGCUCCUGCUGCACCACACCCCCACAUGGACACGGUGUGCCCCUUGCACAGAGGGGGAGACUGAGGCUCCAUCUCACAUGGAGGUGAGAGCCCUUGCUGACCUGAAUCUGGGUGAAUCUCUCCCAAGUGGUCUGGGCCCCUCACGGCAAGUCUUGGUAGUUUAUUUAUCUAUUGGUGUACAUUGAGGAAGCCACUAGAAACAGGAGGAGAGAGUGAGAGGAAGAGAGGGUGGACAAAAGUCGGGGAGGGGAUUGCUUUCCUGUUUCUUUGGCAGAAAAUAUUCUGUUUUCCAGGGGAAGCACAAAUUCCACACAGGCCCAAAGGCCCACAGUCUGAGGCGGUGCCACGAGCACCAGCUAAGAAAAGCAUCAACAAAUGCCAAGUUUCCAUUUUAUUUCUUUGGGUCCCAAGCUAUUGAGUCUCCAGGCCUAUGGGUCACCUUUACCUCAGCCUCCCAAGUGGAGGGCCCUUCUCUCACCUCCUGGCCCUGCCGUGGUCCGGCCCCAGCACAACUAGCCCCCUCCCACACCCCUCUCGGUCCACCUCCCUGUCCUUUUCCUGCGGCAGCGAGACCCAUCAGCAAGGCUUGGCUCCAUACAGGUCUGGACGCGGGAUUCUAGGCCCCUGACCCAGUUCCUGCCCAGGGCUCAGCGAAUGCCGGGCUCCGCCAUCUGUGCCAGCAGCCUGGGGAGGGGGUGAGGUGGGGCGGGGCUGGUUGAUACGAUCUGAACCUCCCCCAGCUGCUGCCCCUGCCCCUCGAAGCCUUGCCCAGCCCUGAUCUGGGCACCGGGAGAACAAGGACCCUCCCCUUGUCCCUGGGUGGCAGGGGGUUCUAGCUCCGGGCUGCAGAGUCGGAAGACUCAAGCUGGGCACGGGAGCUCCCCCCAGAAGCCCCCGUCACCCAGGCCCGCUGAGGGGCUGGCUGGAAAUCUUUCAAUCGAGAUCACACCAGAAUCAGCUAGCACCUUUCUCCUUUCUGUUUUUUCCCUCUCUUGCCUUUAUUUAAAUCUUUUUCUCUUCUCUGUGCUUGCCCUCUUUUCCCACUCUUUUCCACGCCUCUCGUCUGUGUCCUUUUCUUUAAAAAAUUCAAGCAGGUUAGGGGUCAUUUUACUUCUACAUCUCUAUCGCUUCCCUGAAACGUUUCCCUCAACCAUAAAGCCCUCAACAGCUUCAUUUCUGUUCCUGGGCUUUAAUUAGUCCCAAAGAAGCUGCUGCUGAUGAGAAGUAGAGACACAAACCAGUCCUGUGAUGGCUGCCUCCUCCGGGCAGCCUGACACUCUGCAGCUCAGAAAUGGAGGGACACUGGGCGGGCCCAGAGAUAUUUUUGUGCCUCCUUCGAGAAGAUUCUCUUGGAUCUAGCCUGUCCACAAUAUACGGGCACCUUAUGAUGCCUUGGCCGUGCCAGGACGGGUCCGUUUACCGCUGUGCACGUCCCCCAGGAGGCCGCGGGAGGCCGCUGCUUUGACCGUGGGCACUGGAGGCCAAGAGGCCAGGCCGGAUUCCUCCACCACCUCCCAGCUGUCUGCUUUAGGCCAGAUCCUUACCCUCUAGAACCUCAGUUUCCACAUCUGGAAAAUGGGAGCAACCAUCACCUCUUACUCACGAUGCCCUCGAAAAGAAGCAACAGAGACAUUGCCGCAAGCAGGGGGCUGGUGCCUGGCUCUUAGUAAGUGCUCAGCGAAUGCUCACAGAUAUCCGUUGCGUUAUUAUUCAUCGUAAGAUCAUCAAGGGUGGAUUAUAUGGGGCCCCCACCCCAGGAAGGAGGAGGCGGGCGCCCCCCACGAGGCACUCGUUCCUGGCCUGUUUGUGCAAGAACCGAUGAUGCAAACUUUAACGGUGCCAGGUGCAGGCAGCUGCCAGCUCCUCGAGGAGGCCGUGCUGUAAACAGGCCUGCCACCAGCUGUCAGGACACAUCCAACUGUUUUGGAAGUGACUAGAGCGUCUGCCACUGGCUGCCUCCCUAUGCUCUGCCCCAGGCUUCUGAUGGCAGAGGUCAGGGGCUGCGGCUGGUGUGCUGGCCCCAGCUGGCUCUGGCUGGACCCCUGUGAAGUCCCUCAAUCCCUCCUCACAUACGAGCCUCUCCUUGGUGAGGAGAGCUCUUCCGUCCUGUGCAAGGGGCUCAGCGUCUGCCCUGCCUAGGGCUCCAUCAUUUACUUGUCCUCCCUAAGAGUUGCUACCUUCCUACUCCUCAUUCCGGUCCAUUCCCCUGACGUCCUGAGGAGCUGCCAAGGCCCUGCUUACCCCUCCUCUGCUCAAAAAAAAAAAAAAAAAAAUCGAUCAGAAACUGUUCCAUCAUCUUGCCUGGCCUGGCAGGAGCUGCAUCUUCCCCCAGCUUCCCCUCCAGCUCUCCCCAACUUCUCACCUUCCGGACCCUUUGCCGAGGCUGCACUGCUCUUCCCACUGACACCCCAGACCCACCGUGACAUGACUGCCUUUGCCUGAGCUGCCACUCCACCUGGAGGUCCCUCUCCCCACCCCUCUGCCUGAUGGCAUCCCAUCCAUCCUUUCAAAGGCCGCUGCCUCCUUGACUGUGCCUUCAUGCUCACACUCACACACACACACACACACGAGGUGUUGUCACAUUUCCACAGCCUUAACUUUCACGUGACAUUUCUCAUUCUUUACAUUGAAUCAUAGUUUUGUUUACAAAUUCUAUUUCUUCCCCUAAACCCCAAGGCUUGCAGGUACAUCCCUCGGCCCCUUGGUUGCUGUCGCCCCCACAACACGGCGCCCACAUAGGCACUCCAUAAAUGUCACAUGGAAUUGACGCCCCCAUGCAUGAAAAUAUCUAUCUACUCACUCAACCUAAAAGCAUUUCUGAAAGCCGUUUGUCUGACACAGACAUCGCCCGAGGCCUAUGGCACCAACAAUAGCAUCAUUGAUAACUGCUUUCGCAUUUCCAUUUUUAGAAGUGCACAGCAGCGUGAUAUCCGGAGCAAGAGUCCUCCAGAAGAACGGAUAAAUACAUGCGAACGGCUGAUUCUAUGUCCCCCAAGUCCAAAAUGAAAGUCACCAGCAUGCAGACAGAAUAGCAGAGACGGGGAGACACAAGGAAGGAGUUUGUCUGUAAGAGGUUACGAGGCAGCGCUGCAGAGGUUUCGGUCCCAGUCAGCCAGACCGCCUUUCUCCAGCAGGGAGUUUAUUUCGGGCCCACCGCAUGACCAGCGAUGGCGAGCCAAACUAUAAGAUGUUAUGAGUCUCAGAUUUCCUGUUUGAAGAUUGUACCGAGGAAGCUGCGAUCCUGCCUUCAGAUCCUCUGGGUGCAUCAAUUCCGGACCUCACUUCAGAGAGCAUCUCAGAGCGUGGGCCCUCACGUGACGUCAUCAUUUGUGAUCCUUGGCAUGGAGGCCAUAUAUGGACCAGAAAAACCUCUUGUAGUCGAGGGAGCUGGAGAAACUCACACCAAACCCUGUGGCCUUCUGCCUGCACUCAGCUUUCGGAAACCAAGAGCCCAGACGGUUCUUAAUUCAUCAUAGUUGGGGGUUGCUGCUGCUGCGAGUAAAGGUCUGCAGAGCCUGAGACCGAUAGGUCGGCCUGUGUGUUGACAUCGCGGGUUGCUAACCUACAAAAUGAACAGGUUGGGCUAACUCGGCAGUUCCCAAUCCUAGCUGCACGUUAGCAUCCUACUAAACAUACCUAUGCCUGCCUCUUCCCCAGAGAGGCCCAAACAGCACUGAUUCCUUAAACUUUUUAUUAAAGUGUAAUAGACCCACAGAAA